UACGAGAGCGGCAGACGGGUGAGUAACACGUGGGAACGUGCCCUUUGGUUCGGAAUAACUCAGGGAAACUUGAGCUAAUACCGGAUAAGCCCUUACGGGGAAAGAUUUAUCGCCAAAGGAUCGGCCCGCGUCUGAUUAGCUUGUUGGUGGGGUAAUGGCCCACCAAGGCUACGAUCAGUAGCUGGUCUGAGAGGAUGAUCAGCCACAUUGGGACUGAGACACGGCCCAA
Molecule: ribosomal RNA, 229 nt
Filed under: uncultured bacterium
Lineage: Bacteria
Description: partial 16S ribosomal RNA
Rfam family: Bacterial small subunit ribosomal RNA
Source: RNAcentral